GGCGGCAGCGGCGCGCCGGUCAUGAUGCGGGCGGCCUCGCCGGGGCCGACGGCGGGGAGUUCGGCGCUGCCCGCCGCCAC
This 80-nucleotide transfer RNA is filed under the name Streptomyces rimosus subsp. rimosus. Its description in RNAcentral is "tRNA-Gly". Lineage: Bacteria; Bacillati; Actinomycetota; Actinomycetes; Kitasatosporales; Streptomycetaceae. The record is from RNAcentral.